Molecule: long non-coding RNA, 2512 nt
Organism: Mytilus californianus (California mussel)
Lineage: Eukaryota; Metazoa; Mollusca; Bivalvia; Mytilida; Mytilidae
Exons: 5
Source: RefSeq, a predicted model, not a curated record
AAACAAAAUCAAUAUUAUUUCAAGUUGGGUUGACCCUUUUUUGCAGAUUUAAAAAUGUAUUUUAUAGAGGGUUUGCUUAUAUUUUAAAUAUCUGUCUAGUAUUUUGAAAAUAAACGAAUGACACAUGCUUCUGGAAUAAACUUCAUCGUGUACGCUCAAGAUCAAAAGUAUAAAACACAUGGGAGCAUCAAUAUCGAAUUGGUCCAAACCGUCUUAGGUGAAGUUUGACUGCGGGAGCUACAACUUUACUUUUAGUAUAAUUACAUACUAUUUACGGUCAUAACGUCGAAGCAUUUAUUACUAGACGGAUGGUACCCUCAGGGACUUAACAGUCCACCAGCAGUAGUACCGAGCCAGUGUAAGUAAACAACCGUAGGCUCCCAAUUUCAAAAGCCCAAUACACGUCUCUUGAAUAAUAUCAGCUAUGGUUAAGCAAAGCUUAGGUGGAUGAAGCCAAAAAUAUAAAACGUUUCAGAGCUUAUAAAUCAGAUUGGUUUACACAGAAAAGCGAACGUUGUUUUGAGUAAUGUCAAACACUACCGGAUGAGCUGCAACCUUAAUUUUAAUGUUAUAAAUUUACAUUAUUUCAACUUUGAAAGUUUUCAAUCCAAGUUUUAACUUAAAUAUUGGUAAACGAAUUGAUAUGAAAUGAACAGGUAUUUUAGGGUUUUAAUAUAGUUCAAAAUUUUUUAUUCGAAUUGAUGCAUUAUUUCAAUAACUAUUUUUGCAUUAUUUUUGCAUUAUAAAAAAGGAGCUGAACUGUUUCUCAUGAAUUAAUUUUCACUUAAAUUGUAUUGAUCCUCAUUAAAAUGUCAGUGGUACAUAUUAAAGAGGCCAACGUUUGACUAGAAAUACAAGCAUCCUUUGACAAUUUUUAUGACAGUUUAGCUUCCACCAAAUCUACAAUUUCUGCUGAAACAUUGAAAUAUGUUGAUAGUGCUGAAUAUAUAUAUAUAUAAAAACUUGCGAUCAUUUUAGUUUAAAUUGUCAAGAUUGGUAAGUCAAAGUGAUCUUCUGUACCAAUAUGGAAAAAGAAAAUCAAUAAAGUUAUGCUUGCAAAGUAUAUCUUCAUCAAAAUAUUUAAAUUUUUCGAAAACCAUGGGACAGCUAUCUGGAUUUAAUGACAUCUGUCAUUAUUUCAACUUAUUUCUAAUCUUACUUCGUGAAAUGUCAUACAGUAUUUUCAGUGACUAUAAAACUGCGAUAACCAUAGUUGAGAAACUAGAUGAUUUUUGACAAGAUUGAUAAGUCCAAAUGAUCUUCUAGACCAAUAUAGAAAGGGCAAAUCAAUAAAAUUAUGCUUACAAAGUAUAUCUUGAUCAAAUUAUUUUAAUUUUUCGAAAACUGUUGGACAUCUUUCUAGAAUUAACGACAUCUUUAAACGUUUCUCAUUUCUACCCUUACUUCAUGCAAUGCAGUACAUUAUUUUCAGUGACUAUAGUUGUAUCCUGCUUUAUUCCCCUCAUCUCUGAGGUUUCCUUGAUAAAUUACUACCGAAUCCUAUCAUUCUGACGCUCCUUUAUGAUGAGGUUUCCUCGAUGAAUUAUUACCGAAUCCUAUCAUUCUGACGCUCCUUUGUGAUGAGGUUUCCUCGAUGAAUUAUUACCGAAUCCUAUCAUUCUGACGCUCCUUUGUGAUGAGGUUUCCUUGAUAAAUUACUACCGAAUCCUAUCAUUCUGACGCUCCUUUGUGAUGAGGUUUCCUUGAUAAAUUACUACCGAAUCCUAUCAUUCUGACGCUCCUUUGUGAUGAGGUUUCCUUGAUAAAUUACUACCGAAUCCUAUCAUUCUGACGCUCCUUUGUGAUGAGGUUUCCUUGAUAAAUUACUACCGAAUCCUAUCAUUCUGACGCUCCUUUGUGAUGAGGUUUCCUUGAUAAAUUACUACCGAAUCCUAUCAUUCUGACGCUCCUUUGUGAUGAGGUUUCCUUGAUAAAUUAUUACCGAAUCCUAUCAUUCUGACGCUCCUUUGUGAUGAGGUUUCCUUGAUAAAUUAUUACCGAAUCCUAUCAUUCUGACGCUCCUUUAUGAUGAGGUUUCCUCGAUGAAUUAUUACCGAAUCCUAUCAUUCUGACGCUCCUUUGUGAUGAGGUUUCCUUGAUAAAUUACUACCGAAUCCUAUCAUUCUGACGCUCCUUUGUGAUGAGGUUUUCUUGAGAAAUUAUUACCGAAUCCUAUCAUUCUGACGCUCCUUUGUGAUGAGGUUUCCUCGAUGAAUUAUUACCGAAUCCUAUCAUUCUGACGCUCCUUUGUGAUGAGGUUUCCUUGAUAAAUUACUACCGAAUCCUAUCAUUCUGACGCUCCUUUGUGAUGAGGUUUUCUUGAGAAAUUAUUACCGAAUCCUAUCAUUCUGACGCUCCUUUGUGAUGAGGUUUUCUUGAGAAAUUAUUACCGAAUCCUAUCAUUCUGACGCUCCUUUGUGAUGAGGUUUCCUCGAUGAAUUAUUACCGAAUCCUAUCAUUCUGACGCUCCUUUAUGAUGAGGUUUCCUCGAUGAAUUAUUACCGAAUCCUAU